This 260-nucleotide long non-coding RNA is filed under the name Fukomys damarensis (Damara mole-rat). Its description in RNAcentral is "lncRNA (ENSFDAG00000024975.1)". Lineage: Eukaryota; Metazoa; Chordata; Mammalia; Rodentia; Bathyergidae. The record is from RNAcentral.
UGGUGUGUAAGUACUCCUGUUAAUGAUUUAAGUAGCAUUUACAUCUACAAUUUGCUUGCCUUCAGUUUCAGGGUGGAAAUUAGAUAGAUGAGUACUGCCAGAAGUUCUGAUGCUAUUCAUUCCACAUGACAGUUCCUGCCUCCUCACACAAUUGCAGAGAUGCAUGAAAGUCACCGGCUUUGCAUCCACAGUCCAGCAGAGCGUAAAAUUUUUCAGAGGCUUCAAAACACUCAGAGACUUCAAAAUGUGUAUUAUGAAUC